Molecule: ribosomal RNA, 460 nt
Filed under: uncultured bacterium
Lineage: Bacteria
Description: partial 16S ribosomal RNA
Rfam family: Bacterial small subunit ribosomal RNA
Source: RNAcentral
ACUACGGGGAGCAGCAGUGAGGAAUAUUGGUCAAUGGGCGGAAGCCUGAACCAGCCAAGUAGCGUGCAGGAUGACGGCCCUACGGGUUGUAAACUGCUUUUAUACGGGAAUAACGCGCCUUACGUGUAGGGCUUUGCAUGUACCGUAUGAAUAAGGACCGGCUAAUUCCGUGCCAGCAGCCGCGGUAAUACGGAAGGUCCGGGCGUUAUCCGGAUUUAUUGGGUUUAAAGGGAGCGUAGGCCGCAUGUCAAGCGUGCUGUGAGAUGUCCGGGCUCAACCCGGGCCUUGCAGCGCGAACUGGCGUGCUUGAGUCCGCGGAAAGCAGGCGGAAUUCGUGGUGUAGCGGUGAAAUGCUUAGAUAUGACGAAGAACCCCGAGUGCGAAGGCAGCUUGCUGCAGCGGAACUGACGCUGAUGCUCGAAAGCGCGGGUAUCGAACAGGAUUAGAUACCCGUGUAGUC